CCUACGGGAGGCAGCAGUGGGGGAUAUUGCACAAUGGGGGGAACCCUGCUGCAGCGACGCCGCGUGGGUGCAGAAGCGCCUCGGCGCGUAAAGCCCUGUCAGCAGGGAAGAAAAUGACGGUACCUGAAGAAGAAGCACCGGCUAACUACGUGCAAGCGGCCGCGGUACUACGUAGGGGGCAAGCGUUAUCCGGAUUUACUGGGAGUAAAGGGGGCGCAGACGGCGAUGCAAGCCAGGAGUGAACGCCAGGGGCCCAACCCCGGGACUGCUCUUGGAACUGCGUGGCUGGAGUGCAGGAGGGGCGGGCGGAAUUCCUGGUGUAGCGGUGAAAUGCGUAGAUAUCAGGAGGAACACCUGUGGCGAAGGCGGCCGGCUGGACUGCAACUGACGUUGAGGCCCGAAAGCGUGGGGAGCAAACAGGAUUAGAUACCCGAGUAGUC
Molecule: ribosomal RNA, 440 nt
Filed under: uncultured bacterium
Lineage: Bacteria
Description: partial 16S ribosomal RNA
Rfam family: Bacterial small subunit ribosomal RNA
Source: RNAcentral